AUCCGGCUGACGAGUCCCGAACAGAAAGAAACGCUCGUCCUGGAU
Schistosoma mansoni is the source of this 45-nucleotide non-coding RNA. NCBI's taxonomy places the organism in Eukaryota, Metazoa, Platyhelminthes, Trematoda, Strigeidida, Schistosomatidae. The record is from Rfam.